RNAcentral lists this ribosomal RNA (254 nucleotides) under uncultured bacterium. RNAcentral describes it as "partial 16S ribosomal RNA". It matches the Rfam family "Bacterial small subunit ribosomal RNA", at positions 524 to 776 of the family's 1533-position model. The record is from RNAcentral.
UACGUAGGGGGCGAGCGUUGUCCGGAUUCAUUGGGCGUAAAGAGCUCGUAGGCGGUUUGGCAAGUCGGGUGUGAAAUCUCUGGGCUCAACUCAGAGAGGCCACUCGAUACUGCUAUGACUAGAGUCCGGUAGGGGACCAUGGAAUUCCUGGUGUAGCGGUGGAAUGCGUAGAUAUCAGGAGGAACACCGGUGGCGAAGGCGGCUUUCUGGACAGAUACCGACGCUGAGGCACGAAAGCUAGGGGAGCAAACAGG